CAGCCGCCGCGGGAAUACAGAGGGUGCGAGCGUUAAUCGGAUUUACUGGGCGUAAAGCGUGCGUAGGCGGCUUCUUAAGUCGGAUGUGAAAUCCCUGAGCUUAACUUAGGAAUUGCAUUCGAUACUGGGAAGCUAGAGUAUGGGAGAGGAUGGUAGAAUUCCAGGUGUAGCGGUGAAAUGCGUAGAGAUCUGGAGGAAUACCGAUGGCGAAGGCAGCCAUCUGGCCUAAUACUGACGCUGAGGUACGAAAGCAUGGGGAGCAAACAGGAUUAGAGACCCGGGUAGUCACUGUCUCUUAUAA
Molecule: ribosomal RNA, 301 nt
Filed under: uncultured bacterium
Lineage: Bacteria
Description: partial 16S ribosomal RNA
Rfam family: Bacterial small subunit ribosomal RNA
Source: RNAcentral